This is a long non-coding RNA of Felis catus (domestic cat), 1768 nucleotides long. RefSeq lists it as uncharacterized. NCBI's taxonomy places the organism in Eukaryota, Metazoa, Chordata, Mammalia, Carnivora, Felidae. The transcript has 3 exons. The record is from RefSeq and is a predicted model, not a curated record.
AGUAUGUUGCCCCAGGGGGAAUCUUUUGAUUUGCAGCUUUCAAAGGCAACAUCUGUACUCAUCAGUUUUGAAUGGACUUGUGUUAUUCUCUCAAGUUCCCUAUAAUCAGUCUUUAACACAGAAAAAUAAGGAGAAAUCCACCAAAAGCAGUGGAAUCUGGUCCCUUGGUAUAUCUGGAAGGUAUACAACAGCACUCCCACUAAGGAAAGUCGUUCCCUUCCAUACAUCAGCCUGAAACAGCAUUUAACAGCCCGUGUUCGGUUCCUCCGCCUGUCCCCACACUCCCAAAGUCUCUGAAAUCUACAGCUAAGCGAUUGCAAGUUUAUGUGCCUUGACCACUGCUUUUAAAAUACCCCCUGGUUACGAAAAGUGCUUCAUAGACAGACUCCCGAAAGAACCCAGGUUAUAAAGAAUACUCUCUCUUCCUGGGAAUAAAGCCGAGGGAGGAAAUACUAUCAGCCUGGCAUAAUCUCAAGCUAAUUAUGAAUUUGGCUUUGGCUACCUAGUCCAGAAAGGUUUCUGCAGUUGGCACUGGCUACGCAUUGAGCCAGCUGGAGUCUGUACAAGGGGGAACAGUCCCAUCAAGUUUGGGAACCAGAAGGACCAGGCUGGCCUAGUUGGGCUGCUGUCCUCUGGCCUCUCCCAAAUGAUGGCCUUGGGAUCUCUUUACUGCCUAGUGUGGACACAGCCCUCAUAGGAUGCUCUUACCAUUAGCACAGACACACCAUUCCACCUGCAGGGGGCUCAGGUGGAUUUUUCUAGGCUUUUCUGAGAAGAACGCAGGGAAGUUUUUCUAGAAGGACAGCUCUCUGGUGGAGACAAAGUGUCUGCAAGGCAGUGAGGGGAGCGCAAACAUACAUGAGAGUUUUCAGUCCAGUGAUGGAGAAAAACCAGCUUGGUAAACAGAAGUUUGAGCAGUCCCAACUCCCUACGGUCUGAAUACGAAGCUCUGGGCAGGAUGUGAUACGUGCAUAAAAAUGAGGUGAGAAAACUCCCUUGUGAAAGGUGCUCUCCCUGUAUCAGGAGGAAGGGAAGAUAUUCUUAUCAUCAGAGACAGAGAGCUGGGAGCCAAGAAACCUGUACCAACAAGCUACUUAAACUAACCCUUCUCUUCCUGGUUGCUUCUUCACUGCUUAUGACACCUAGUCCGUCAUUUACUAUACUCCCUUGAUCCAUUUUGUCUCCCAUUCUUCCAGACACCUAUCCAAACUCUCCUCUCCGCCUAUGUUCAACUUCCCUUCCCCCGUCUCCACCCUCAGCAGAGAACUUUGCUAAUUCUCUGAGAAAGGGAAAAGCAUCAAAAGACAGCCUCCACAAGCCCCCAUUACCAGCUACAGAAAUUAACUCGAAAUGGAUCAUAGACCUAAAUGAAUAUGCCGAAGCCAUAAAAUCUUUAGAAGAAAACAUAGCAGUAAAUCUUUGUGAUCUUGGCUUAAGAAAAAGUUUCUUAGAUACGACACCAAAAUCACAAAUAACAGAAGAAAAAUAAAUCGGAGAAGUAAAAAUAAAAAUAACCUCUGUGCUUCAAAGGAUGUCAUUAGAAAAUGGAAAGACAACCCACAGAACAACAGAAAAUAUUUGCAAAACAUACUCGAUAGGGAACUUGUGUCUAGAAUUUAUAAAGGGCUCUUCUGAACGCAAUGAUAAAAAGACAACCGUGGGCAAUGGAUCUGAGUAGACAUUCUCCGAAGGAGAUAUACAGAAGGCCAAUGAGCAUAUUAAAAGGUAUUCAGUAUCACUAGUCAUUAAAGAAAUACAAAAAAAAAAA